UACGAGGGGUGCAAGCGUUAUUCGGAAUUAUUGGGCGUAAAGGGUGCGUAGACGGCAUGCUAAGUCAACUGUUAAAUUCCUCGGCCUAACUGGGGACCAGCAGUAGAUACUGGCGUGCUAGAGGAUGGAAGAGAGAAGUGGAAUUCUCGGAGUAGCGGUAAAAUGCGUAGAUCUCGAGAGGAACACCGAUGGCGAAGGCAGCUUCUUGGUCCAUUUCUGACGUUGAGGCACGAAAGCGUGGGGAGCAAACAGG
Molecule: ribosomal RNA, 253 nt
Filed under: uncultured Candidatus Babelota bacterium
Lineage: Bacteria
Description: uncultured Candidatus Dependentiae bacterium partial 16S ribosomal RNA
Rfam family: Bacterial small subunit ribosomal RNA
Source: RNAcentral